AUAACGGGCCAAUUUCAAGUUGUGAGAUACGACCGGUGCAAAUCAUGGUCGCAGUGCAACUUUGCGCGGGUGAUUUGCGCGCUCUCUGCGACCACGAGAUGCGUCCGAUCUCAAGUCGAUAAAGUGCAAUGUCGCAGCGUAGCAGCAACUUUUGUCCGUGAUGCAAAAUUUUGCGCCGGUCACGUGACUUUCGAAAUGUCAAAUUUUAAUUUUGAGUUUGGCUUUUGUGUUCAAAGUGAAAAGAAAAAUCAAGGAACGAUUAAAAAUGCCGGCGGUCGAAAAACUGGAUGAAAUACAAGUGCUGAUGAGAUUUAAAAGCGUUGAGACAAUUUGUUUGACUCAUCUUUGGGGUUUGAAAAAGACUUUCACUGAUUCAAUUUCUCCGAGAAAGGACCUAGAACCAGGUCAUAAAUUUUGUUCAAGAACAGGGACAGUGGAUGAUUUGAAAAAGAAAUUUGAAGUCAGUGAACAAGUGCAAAGCUUUUGUUAAUAAUGCUGUUAAACUGGAAUUGUCGAAAAGCCCUCCAACAUUUUACGAGAAGAAAGUGCUUUCUUUUAUAGAAACUUGAUCAAAACCGAUUUAAGAAGUUUCAAAAACUAAAAUUAGUAACAGGCAGUUACUUUAAACUUACCUCUUCAAAUUUUAUAGUUAAAACGGUGACUUUAAUACUUACAUUUGUGUAAAUUUUCAGUGUGGAUAUACAUAACCCUACCAUACUAAAAAAAGCUGUAGUUCAUGAAUUUUGUAUUAUUUAUUUCAGUACAAAUAAUGUAUUUUGGUACAUUUUCAGACAAAUAUAUUCUUUUACAGUU
Molecule: long non-coding RNA, 813 nt
Organism: Tribolium castaneum (red flour beetle)
Lineage: Eukaryota; Metazoa; Arthropoda; Insecta; Coleoptera; Tenebrionidae
Exons: 2
Source: RefSeq, a predicted model, not a curated record